GUACUUGUGCACCACUACUAGUGGACUUGUUUUGUACUCAUAUAAGGUAUAAUUCAUACAAAACAUUCUUAAAGACAAAAAACGAAUCAUCUUGCUAAAGUCUUUAAUAUAACUUUAAAAUAUACUGAUGAUAUGCAGUUACUUAGCCAACACAUAAGUGCUAAUAUAUAAUAUGCCCUAGCAAACUUGAUUUUAAGGAAACUACCGAAAGUAAAAGGUCUGAUAUUUCAAAUACAUAUAGACGUUGAUUUUAUGUUACCACGGCCAAUACGGAAAAUUCCAUGUAAUAAUCUUUAAUAUUUACAGUCAAUAAGGUUUCAUGUCUUGUCCUCUGAAACUCUGCACAAUUCCAUUGAACUUGUCACUUGAAUGUGAAACUUUAAUGUUACUGCAAUAGGUUCGUAUCACUGGUGAUGAAAAAAAAACACCUUAGAGGAUAUCAUCUGACCAGUAGUUUAAAGGUUGGCAUGAUUUAAGAAAUACAAAUUAUGGCACACUAAAAUCAGUAUUAUAGUUUAUAAACUAUAUAUUCAGAAUUGAAUAUUGUAACCCUUUUCAUUAAUUUUGCAACUCCCGCACUCAAAGGUUUUUGCUGCACAGGUCUAAGUUUACCAUAUGAAACCGGUAUCAAA
This 632-nucleotide long non-coding RNA is filed under the name Mytilus galloprovincialis (Mediterranean mussel). Lineage: Eukaryota; Metazoa; Mollusca; Bivalvia; Mytilida; Mytilidae. The record is from RNAcentral.